CCUACGGGCGGCAGCAGUGAGGAAUAUUGGUCAAUGGCCGGAAGGCUGAACCAGCCAUGCCGCGUGAAGGUCAGUGCCCUAUGGGCGUUAAACUUCUUUUGUGCGGGAGCAAUAAUGGUCACGUGUGGCCAGACGAGAGUACCGUACGAAUAAGCAUCGGCUAACUCCGUGCCAGCAGCCGCGGUAAUACGGGGGAUGCAAGCGUUUUCCGGAUUUAUUGGGUUUAAAGGGUGCGUAGGCUGUGAGGUAAGUCAGCGGUGAAAUGCCCCCGCUCAACGGGGUGAAGUGCCAUUGAUACUGCCUGGCUGGAAUGCGGAUGCCGUGGGAGGAAUGUGUGGUGUAGCGGUGAAAUGCAUAGAUAUCACACAGAACACCGAUUGCGAAGGCAUCUCACGAAUCCGCGAUUGACGCUGAUGCACGAAAGCGUGGGUAUCAAACAGGAUUAGAUACCCUAGUAGUC
This 460-nucleotide ribosomal RNA is filed under the name uncultured bacterium. RNAcentral describes it as "partial 16S ribosomal RNA". It matches the Rfam family "Bacterial small subunit ribosomal RNA", at positions 338 to 795 of the family's 1533-position model. The record is from RNAcentral.